UGGGGAAUAUUGGACAAUGGGCGCAAGCCUGAUCCAGCCAUGCCGCGUGGGUGAAGAAGGCCUUCGGGUUGUAAAGCCCUUUUGUUGGGAAAGAAAAGCAGUCGGUUAAUACCCGGCUGUCAUGACGGUACCCAAAGAAUAAGCACCGGCUAACUUCGUGCCAGCAGCCGCGGUAAUACGAAGGGUGCAAGCGUUACUCGGAAUUACUGGGCGUAAAGCGUGCGUAGGUGGUGAUUUAAGUCAGAUGUGAAAGCCCUGGGCUCAACCUGGGAACUGCAUUUGAUACUGGGUCACUAGAGUGCGGUAGAGGAUAGCGGAAUUCCUGGUGUAGCAGUGAAAUGCGUAGAGAUCAGGAGGAACAUCCGUGGCGAAGGCGGCUAUCUGGGCCAGCACUGACACUGAGGCACGAAAGCGUGGGGAGCAAACA
Molecule: ribosomal RNA, 427 nt
Filed under: uncultured Luteimonas sp.
Lineage: Bacteria; Pseudomonadati; Pseudomonadota; Gammaproteobacteria; Lysobacterales; Lysobacteraceae
Description: bacterial SSU rRNA
Rfam family: Bacterial small subunit ribosomal RNA
Source: RNAcentral